Molecule: ribosomal RNA, 497 nt
Filed under: uncultured bacterium
Lineage: Bacteria
Description: partial 16S ribosomal RNA
Rfam family: Bacterial small subunit ribosomal RNA
Source: RNAcentral
GAUGAACGCUGGCGGCGUGCCUAAUACAUGCAAGUCGAGCGAACAGACGAGGAGCUUGCUCCUCUGACGUUAGCGGCGGACGGGUGAGUAACACGUGGAUAACCUACCUAUAAGACUGGGAUAACUUCGGGAAACCGGAGCUAAUACCGGAUAAUAUAUUGAACCGCAUGGUUCAAUAGUGAAAGACGGUUUUGCUGUCACUUAUAGAUGGAUCUGCGCCGCAUUAGCUAGUUGGUAAGGUAACGGCUUACCAAGGCAACGAUGCGUAGCCGACCUGAGAGGGUGAUCGGCCACACUGGAACUGAGACACGGUCCAGACUCCUACGGGAGGCAGCAGUAGGGAAUCUUCCGCAAUGGGCGAAAGCCUGACGGAGCAACGCCGCGUGAGUGAUGAAGGUCUUCGGAUCGUAAAACUCUGUUAUUAGGGAAGAACAAAUGUGUAAGUAACUAUGCAUGUCUUGACGGUACCUAAUCAGAAAGCCACGGCUAACUACGUG